CCUCUGACCUCAUCCCCCAAGGAGGAGGAGACCUGUUCCCCGUUUGCUCUCCGAACCUCUCCAUCCUCAUUCGCACUCCCGGGGCUGCUUUUCCUGGCUGCACGCAGGCACUUCUUCCGAUGCCAGCGCACGCUCCUUCUGGCCCUGGAUUCCAUUUCGCUCCAUCACCUGCCAGCCACGCCUGAUUCCUGGGGCGGGCAAAGCGGCAGAGGCUCAUCAGUAAAAAAAUACAGCUGGCCGCUCUGUCCGCAGCCGCGGAUCCAAGCAACUGCAGAUGGAAAAAAAUCAGGAAAAAAUGAUUGGUGUGCCCUGAACACACACGACACAGCACAGCGUCUGUUUACAAGGCAUCGACAUUGGCGACCCUGGACUCCAUGCGGAGCCUCCUGGUACGCGCGGGCAAUAUCACCGUUUAUACACAGCCUGCGUGUCAGCUGCACUUAAGCUGGUGUCCACCCUGCCGGAUAAGCUGUCGUCCCGAACACAAACGCACGGACAGACGUGCACCGUGAAGGCGCUGGCGGGAGAGCAGAGAAGACGUCGGAAGCCGAGGCUGAGCAGUGGAGCCUGCAGAGCUGCAGCUGCUGCCCGGGGUGGGAGGAGGAGGCUCU
Molecule: long non-coding RNA, 611 nt
Filed under: Oryctolagus cuniculus (rabbit)
Lineage: Eukaryota; Metazoa; Chordata; Mammalia; Lagomorpha; Leporidae
Description: lncRNA (ENSOCUG00000037133.1)
Source: RNAcentral